UUUGAGCUAAAAAUUUGUCCAAAAAAUUAAGAUGUGGCUCCAAUCAUUACUAUGAAUAAAAUCACUUAUUUACUCCCUUUGAUUUGGAUGUGCUGACUUCAACUCUCUAUAACUUCUUCAUUUAAAUUCCAAAUUCAUCAAAUAAUACAUGAAAAGUGUAGUCAAGAAAGUGCUCUCCACGCUUAGUUACUGAUCCUUUGUUGCUCUUUGUAAACAUAUGUUAUGCUCCAAAAAGUGACAAUAGAUAUGAAAUUGACAUCUUAACUUUGAGUGCCAAUAAGUCCAUAAAAAAUCCAAAUCAUACAAAAUUUACAUCCAA
Molecule: long non-coding RNA, 319 nt
Filed under: Physcomitrium patens
Lineage: Eukaryota; Viridiplantae; Streptophyta; Bryopsida; Funariales; Funariaceae
Description: long non-coding RNA (PPAT_LNC011221)
Source: RNAcentral